This 253-nucleotide ribosomal RNA is filed under the name uncultured bacterium. Its description in RNAcentral is "partial 16S ribosomal RNA". It matches the Rfam family "Bacterial small subunit ribosomal RNA", at positions 524 to 776 of the family's 1533-position model. The record is from RNAcentral.
UACGUAGGGGGCUAGCGUUGUCCGGAUUUAUUGGGCGUAAAGAGCGUGUAGGCGGCCAUGUAGGUCUGGUGUGAAAACUCGAGGCUUAACCUCGAGAUGUCAUCGGAAACCAUUUGGCUAGAGUCCGGAAGAGGAGAGUGGAAUUCCUGGUGUAGCGGUGAAAUGCGCAGAUAUCAGGAAGAACACCAAUGGCGAAAGCGGCUCUCUGGGACGGUACUGACGCUGAGACGCGAAAGCGUGGGGAGCGAACAGG